ACAUUAUACAUGUACCUUUUUGCUAUUUAUAACAUAAUCCGUAUUUAUACAAUAUAUAUUAUAUACAUAAUAAUAUUAUUAUAGUUUAUAAUGUUUGUAUGGAUGUAGGUAGGUCACGUGUAUUAAACUGCACGCGUCAUUAUAAUAUAUGAUACCUAUAUGGUAUAUAUAUAUUAUACGCGUGACCAUCAGUCGACGACGUCGAUCGAUGAUUUCGGGUCUCCCGGAGCUUUUUUCCGAUAACCGACUUCUGACGAAUCGUCUCGUCGGCGGGCAUGUCGAAACGCGCGUCGUAGGUAUACCUAUCUAAUAUAAUAACAUAUUAUAUUAUAUUAUACUAGUUGAAAGGCUAUUUAGGUAUGCCGUGUUUCAUUAUUAAAUCAAACAUAUCAUAUCGACUAUAUAGACACUGACAUACUAUAAUCUCGAACGAAUACGGGCGAUACGUCAUGUACGUUCCUCGAAAUAGUGCCGGGACAGCUGAUAUUGGCAGUCGCAGAUGUCUGACCGCCCGGCGUUGUCCGUCCUAAUAUUACCGUUUAAUAAUAUUAUUAUAUUAUAGAUGCGAGUGUGUACCUAUGUAUAUGGUAUAUCUCCUAUACGUCGACGACGGUCGGAGACUUGAACGCUGCUAUCGACACGUUUUCCGCACGCGCUGGACACAACAGAUACGUAGAAACCAUGGCAAAAUUAUACCACUUCACGAAUUGAACACACGUCAACAAGAUGAAACCUAUAAGUCGUUUUACAAAAUACGCUGAACUAUAUCCAUGCCAUCUACUGUUGGAAGAUACAAAUUUAUAAAUAUCGGCAUUUCCAAGAAAAUAUACGGCUUCGGGAUAUGAAAUUAAAAACCACAGGCGUUGUGCAGCUUGAAAAAAAACUUUCUUGACGAACUGGAAGUGACCUGAAGCCGUAGCUUACAGAUUUGUUGUUCCAUCCACAUUGUUCGGACGAAGACUCGCCCGUCUGCAGCUGCGCGCGUUCUGGAUCUAUUGCAGUUCGAACCGUAUUUAGAUAUCCGUCUGGUAACCGUCGAACGGUGUGAUUUAUUAUAACAUAUUCGCGAUACACUUGUCGUAUCCGACUGCACGUCGUCCUUAAGACUUCACCAAAGACACAAUAACGUAUAAGAAAUCUGUUUGAAUCGCCUACUAUAUGUUUGCAAGGAAAAUAAAACGAAUAAACUCGAACACUAUAAAAAGUGAUUCGAAAGACACACGAUUAGAAGACGUACCUAUACUACACUGUACAUAUAGUUUUACGCCACUUUGUGUUAUUUGUGUCUCGUGUGCAACUGACGUUAUAGGGGAGAAAAAUGUCGUGUGAUGGCACAUAUCGACUGCGGCCAAGACCGACUCCUCGGUGCACUGCAGGAUGUGUUUUCCCCGUUUUCUCGGGUCAUAACCUUACGGGGAAAGCGGAAAGCACGGAGGUCCACGAUCAUUAUAACACUUGUUGUGCGACGUCGGAGAAAAUUUAAAUCGAUUUCGAUUCAAAGGUCACCGUUGAUUCCACUAUUUUGAAGUUUUAAGUAUAAGAACUCGUCUACCAACUAGUCAAACCAGGAGAUUAAAUAUGCGAAAAAUACAACCUUACCGAAUACAUAUAGAUGUACAAUAUUAGGUCUUUUCAAACGAUGACCAAAUACACACGGGGAUUGCGCGUAAUGUGAAAUCAUCCACCACCUUCAAUUUGUUCAGGACUAUAUCAGCAGCGGUGACCCGCUAGGACAUGGAAAUAACGACAGAAUUAACUUUUUUUAAAAGGUCAAAGGGUUGGGUUGACACAAGAAGGGUCAAACAGCACACGAGAGGGUGCGCAUUUGUAUCGGUCAGUGAAUUGAUCGGGGUACAAAGGCAGUACGUUUAAUAAGUCUAAAUGCAAAUAUUGUUACAGGUGAUGUAGAUAUAUUAUGAAUUUACUUUUAAGAUUUUUUUUUUUUAUUAUUAUUAACAUCAUAAUAAUUAUUGUCAUUAAA
This is a long non-coding RNA of Aphis gossypii (cotton aphid), 1981 nucleotides long. RefSeq lists it as uncharacterized. Lineage: Eukaryota; Metazoa; Arthropoda; Insecta; Hemiptera; Aphididae. The transcript has 8 exons. The record is from RefSeq and is a predicted model, not a curated record.